RNAcentral lists this long non-coding RNA (128 nucleotides) under Pongo abelii (Sumatran orangutan). RNAcentral describes it as "lincRNA". The record is from RNAcentral. Lineage: Eukaryota; Metazoa; Chordata; Mammalia; Primates; Hominidae.
AGGUUACUUGGUACAGUGGUCGACAAAACGUUGAAAUGUUGAUGUUUAAGGGCUGUUGAUUGCUGGCAGCAAAGAAGUCCAACUGUGCUGGCACCCGAGAUAGCGUCUUCACAUUUUCUUCCAGGAUC